This 121-nucleotide small nucleolar RNA is filed under the name Salvator merianae (Argentine black and white tegu). Its description in RNAcentral is "Small nucleolar RNA SNORA32 (ENSSMRG00000009809.1)". It matches the Rfam family "Small nucleolar RNA SNORA32". Rfam says of the family: ACA32 is a member of the H/ACA class of snoRNA that guide the sites of modification of uridines to pseudouridines. The record is from RNAcentral. Lineage: Eukaryota; Metazoa; Chordata; Lepidosauria; Squamata; Teiidae.
UGGUCUCUACCAAGGCUGCUAGAAGAUGCCAUUUCUGGUAUGCUGUGGACGUGACCAUAAAGUAACUCCUAUGGAUCUUUGCACAGCUACUANGGUAGUUUCAGAUCUGCUGGAAACAGUG